Non-coding RNA from Ameiurus melas (black bullhead), 74 nucleotides. The record is from the annotation of a GenBank genome assembly. NCBI's taxonomy places the organism in Eukaryota, Metazoa, Chordata, Actinopteri, Siluriformes, Ictaluridae.
GGCAGUGGUGGCUUGGCGGUUAAGGGUCUGGGGCACUUAUCCCAGGGUCGGGGGUUCAAUCCCCAGCACUGCCA